Molecule: ribosomal RNA, 905 nt
Filed under: uncultured bacterium
Lineage: Bacteria
Description: bacterial SSU rRNA
Rfam family: Bacterial small subunit ribosomal RNA
Source: RNAcentral
AGAGUUUGAUCAUGGCUCAGAUUGAACGCUGGCGGAAUGCUUUACACAUGCAAGUCGAACGGCAGCACGGGUGCUUGCACCUGGUGGCGAGUGGCGAACGGGUGAGUAAUGCGUCGGAACGUACCGAGUAAUGGGGGAUAACGCGGCGAAAGUCGCGCUAAUACCGCAUACGCCCUGAGGGGGAAAGUGGGGGAUCGCAAGACCCCACGUUAUUCGAGCGGCCGACGUCUGAUUAGCUAGUUGGUGGGGUAAUGGCCUACCAAGGCGACGAUCAGUAGCGGGUCUGAGAGGAUGAUCCGCCACACUGGGACUGAGACACGGCCCAGACUCCUACGGGAGGCAGCAGUGGGGAAUUUUGGACAAUGGGGGCAACCCUGAUCCAGCCAUUCCGCGUGAGUGAAGAAGGCCUUCGGGUUGUAAAGCUCUUUCAGCUGGAACGAAACGGUACAGGUUAAUACCCUGUGCUAAUGACGGUACCGGCAGAAGAAGCACCGGCUAACUACGUGCCAGCAGCCGCGGUAAUACGUAGGGUGCGAGCGUUAAUCGGAAUUACUGGGCGUAAAGCGUGCGCAGGCGGAUUGUUAAGCAAGAUGUGAAAUCCCCGGGCUUAACCUGGGAAUGGCAUUUUGAACUGGCAGUCUAGAGUGCGUCAGAGGGGGGUGGAAUUCCACGUGUAGCAGUGAAAUGCGUAGAGAUGUGGAGGAACACCAAUGGCGAAGGCAGCCCCCUGGGAUGACACUGACGCUCAUGUACGAAAGCGUGGGUAGCAAACAGGAUUAGAUACCCUGGUAGUCCACGCCCUAAACGAUGUCAACUGGUUGUUGGGGGAGUGAAAUCCCUUAGUAACGAAGCUAACGCGUGAAGUUGACCGCCUGGGGAGUACGGUCGCAAGAUUAAAACUCAAA